Molecule: ribosomal RNA, 253 nt
Filed under: uncultured bacterium
Lineage: Bacteria
Description: partial 16S ribosomal RNA
Rfam family: Bacterial small subunit ribosomal RNA
Source: RNAcentral
UACGGAGGGUGCAAGCGUUAUCCGGAUUCACUGGGUUUAAAGGGUGCGUAGGCGGGCAGGUAAGUCAGUGGUGAAAUCUCCGAGCUUAACUCGGAAACUGCCGUUGAUACUAUUUGUCUUGAAUACUGUGGAGGUAAGCGGAAUAUGUCAUGUAGCGGUGAAAUGCUUAGAUAUUACAUAGAACACCGAUUGCGAAGGCAGAUCACUAAUAAGUCAUUGAUGCUGAUGGACGAAAGCGUAGGUAGCGAACAGG